Molecule: long non-coding RNA, 905 nt
Filed under: Monodelphis domestica (gray short-tailed opossum)
Lineage: Eukaryota; Metazoa; Chordata; Mammalia; Didelphimorphia; Didelphidae
Description: lncRNA (ENSMODG00000031940.2)
Source: RNAcentral
CACUGGAAUUUCUAACCUGCAUUUCUCUGUUUUCCUCUUUAAUCCCUGAUUGAAAGACCCAGCAGGUCCCAUCAAACUUACUUUUACGUGGUUGGAGAGCGUUUUGACAACAUCUUUUCCAGGAACGGUACAAAGAACUGGGCAAGGAAUAUUUUUUUUUCUCCUCUAAGUCAAACAAAUCAAAAUUUCUGUCCAGCAAAGAUUACCUUUGUGACUAACAAUGACUUGACAUCCAGCAAGUGCUAGAAACAUGUAUGGCCCAGAGAGAAAAUGAAGAAACAGAAACACGGACAACACAGAGAAGUUUGUCCCUUGUUCAAGUCAGAGAGAUAUUAAGUGCAUUCAAACCAAAGUCCUCUGAUUCCAAAGUGACCCUGUUUUUCACAUGUAAGUCAUUUAAACUUUCCCCCAUUUUAUAGUUGAAGAAUGUGAUAGAAAUGGAAAAUCAGUUUAGGGGAAACUUGGAGGAAUGAGCCCUAGGGAACCAGAAGGAUGACCCCUAUAAUACUUGGCAUUAAAGAAACAGAACUCUUUGUCUCUUCUUGAGCCAGCAAGAUCUAAUUCAAAGUCUAUUCCAAUUCUUUGAAAUACCAAUAUCAUUGGAAAAAGUAAAAUUGUUUUUGUUCCUUGGCCAACCUGAAAUGAGAUGUCUUCCAAAAUUUUUCAAGUGUUUAUAGAGCCUUUUGUAAUAGAGAAUUGUACCCUAGAAAUUGGAAUCAGAGACAUAUUUGGGGAUGAAAAUAUUCAAUAAUACAGGAAGAAUCCAUAAUUAAUUUCAGCCAUGGAUUUCCCCAAAGGCCUAAAUUGCCUUUUAUGUGAAAGAACUUUGCAUUCUUGUAGAGUUAUAUAUUUUUAAAUGAUCAUGAUACAGUUAAUGUAAAUAAAAUUCAAAGAUUCUGAGGCCA